UCAUUUUAACAUAUCCCUUCUCUCUGUAUAUCUCUCCAUUCUCUUCUAUCUCUUAACCACACACUACCAUCGAAGCGCCAUCAUCACUGGGCUCAAGACGCCUUCGGCCGGUCAAUGUCUUCGAUCUGCGAUCACUGAAGGAAAAAGGAAAGAAGCCCCAACAUGCGAUGUGUAGUCUUCGAUUUGCAGGAAAAAGGCGCCUCGGGUAGUGUUGCACGCAAUAUGUGAAAAAAAAUGUGUGCUACGUAUACAUUUUACCCUAUAUAUUUUCAAUAAUUUUCUUUGUUGAUUGUCAGUUUCUAAGUUGUGAUGUGAUAUUUGAAUUCAAAAUGCCCAAAAGGGAUAAAAUAUUUCCAAAAUCUAAAUUCAUGUUCUUAAGUUGUGGAUAUAAAGUUGUCGUUACCUUUUAAACUUGAAACUUUCAAUCAAUCCUAAUUAGUAUUUAAAAGCUCGAUUUUAUAGCUAGCUAAAAUAAAUUCCAACAAUGAACAAAAUUUCUUUUCGAGUUUUAUGUAAUUUAUUAUACCCUUGUAGGUUGAGAAGUGCUUGAUACCUCUAUCUACUUUAGAAUUAUACUCAGAAGUUGUUAGCUUUCUUCCUUUGUGUCCUUGGAGUAAUGUUACCAAGAAAAGGAUUUUUGAAUUUUCUUACUGUGGAUGUUUUAUUGAAGCUAUGGGAUUUCAAACAUAAUUUCUUGAGCCAAGAAUAACACUCAUCUAGUCAGCAGUAUUUGAAGGUGCUUUGGUUUUUGUUUAACAUAAUUCAAAACUUUCGGCGAACUAAAGUAGUCCUCAGGUCUGAGGGAAAAAAUUGAUUUUCAUAGAUUAAUUUCACUAUCUUAUUUAUAGAUCUUGUUUCAAUUUUUUUUUUUUCCAGAGGGACUCCAAUGUAAGACUUGUGGUAAACCCCCAGAGGGUCAUUUUUUCUAUUAUGCACAUCAUAACAAGCAACUAACUAUUAAAGCUAGACAUCUUCCUGUUGACAAAGGCCUGGUGAAAUUGAAGUAAAGCUUUGGAUGUAGAUUUGCUGUGGUCAAUGUAGUCAUAGAUGUCCUAUGUUGUUCUAUUGAUAAUAAAUGAUUUUGAUUUCAAGGAUUUGGUUGUAAUAUAUCGACUUACAUAACAUCACAUAUCUAUUCACUCCUUGUCAUAUGUGAUGAGUGAUUUACACUCAUUAUAUUAUGUCAUUAAUUUCAUGAUUUUGCUAUCUUGGAGAGUAUUUUAGAAGUGCUAACAAGUGAUUUUGGUGUUAUUUUGUAGAUUGAUGGAAGUGGAGAAUACAAGAGCUAAAAGAGGUCAAAGGAAGGAAAUAGGCAAAAGCUAGCGAAAUUAGAUGAAAUGACCAAAACGUAAGAGAUCCAAAGUUCGAGGAUUAAAAUGCAAUUAAUCAAAAGUCGUGUCGAAACUUGAAAUGAAGAUCCGAGAGUUCUAGAAGCCAAUUGGAUGAAGGAAGGUGCCAAAGGGAUCAAAUUUAGUCAAAAUAUGAUCAUAAAUCAUUUUCCAACCAAAAAGUUUUGCGCCGGAGUUUUGAUCUCACAUUUAGACUCAUUUUGACAUAGAAAACGAUCGAAUUGGAGAAUGAUUCCUGAUGCAAAAUUGUAUUCCAUUGAAUUAUCUUUCCAACGCAUCUUGAAUCACUUUAAUCGGAUAUCGAACGAAAAAGUUAUGACAAAAAUACUAAAAGCUAUCCAAUGCAACCGAAGUAAUCCUCAGUGUUCAGGCGCCAUGAUGCUGAAAUUUUGACAGAAAGUCAGCGCCUAGACGCCCAAUCGUAGCGCCCAGACGCCGCCGUGCGAGAGUAAUUUUUUUAGGUUUUUGCCAUUCUUUUUCGACCCAACUCAUCUCCAAAUCAUUCCCUAGACUCCAAGACAUUAUAAACACAGAAUUGAAGACCUAAAUUAGAGGGGAGCCGCACACUAAAAAUCUGUGGAAUCAAGCUAUGCGUUCUUGACAUAUUGGAGAGAAGACAACAAGAAGGGAGAUUGAAAAGAAAAAUUCAAGAAGAUUAACACCAAG
RNAcentral lists this long non-coding RNA (2015 nucleotides) under Olea europaea subsp. europaea. The record is from RNAcentral. Lineage: Eukaryota; Viridiplantae; Streptophyta; Magnoliopsida; Lamiales; Oleaceae.